AAGCGUGAUAGGCCUAGGCCUAAUACGAAAACUCAACAUAGUUUACCUAAUACGAUGACAAAUAAAAAUAAAAAGCCCAUGUUUUUGACAGGUAGGGCUUCUGUUAAUAAUGAAAGACUGAGGGCUGUGGAGAAAUACAGACACAUUUUUGCGUCUAGAUUUGGUGAAAAUGUUCAAUGUGAAGAUCUGAAACAGUACCUAAACGAUACUGUCAGUGGUAGUUAUGAAGUAAUUAAACUAAAAAAAUAGGUUUCCAGGCUACAGCUCCUUUAAAAUUGGUGUCCCUCUGCCACUUUGGGAGAAUGUGUUCAACCAGGAUGUCUGGCCUGCAGAGGGAUUUGUCGUUGGUGCGAGCUACUGCCGACGGCCUCCUAGGGUGCAUGGCGGUACUUCAGUUUUAGUCAGAACUGGCAUUUCUUUUGAAUUAUUAAAUAUUAAUAGGUUAUAGUUUUAUUGUCUUAAGUGUGUAUCGCACACCCAACACAGAUUUUAAUAACAUUAUUGAAUGCCUAGAAAAAAUACUUAUCCAUCUCUUAUCUAUCCAUCUUUUAAAUACUUUGGGCUUUCAGGUGACUUCAAUCUAUCUAAAUCAGAAAAUCCAGAAGUUAAUUAUUUCUUAAAUAUUCUUAGAUCUGUGGAACUGUAUCCUGUAAAUACAAAACCUACACGUAAUCAGGCAUGCCUGGAAAAUGUUUUCACAAAUGUUAAUAAAGAGUGGACGAUAUGUUUCUUAUUAGGUCAGGAUAUUAUUUUUCACCAUGCUGGCAUGUGGGUGGAUUUUUUUAACCACAUCUUGUAAUAGUAAGCCUACUUUAAAUAAUAUAAAAGAUAAUGAUAUGCAUUCUUGUGAUAAACGUGUAAUGAAUAAUGACAGUAUUAGUGAUUUAAGCCAAAGCCUUAGUUUUAUUGAUUGGAACUGUAGGUAUAUAUAUAUAUAUAUAUAUAUAUAUAUAUAUAUAUAUAUAUAUAUAUAUAUAGUUUAACUGAUGUACAUACUGCCUUUUCAGUGUUCGUUCAUGUUUUGUCUAAUUAUUUUAAUAUGUAUUGUUCUAUUGUUACUUGUAAAAAUAAUGCUAAAUCUAAGAUGUCGACUAAUUGGUACACACAGGAAUUAAAAUUAGUGCAUUCUUAUAUAUUAGUGUUGUAUGAUAAGUGGAAAUCAACCCCUCGUCCAUUGUGGACAAAGUAGUUUUUAAGAAGUUUCGAAAAUAGUAUUA
This is a long non-coding RNA of Homalodisca vitripennis (glassy-winged sharpshooter), 1217 nucleotides long. RefSeq lists it as uncharacterized. The record is from RefSeq and is a predicted model, not a curated record. Lineage: Eukaryota; Metazoa; Arthropoda; Insecta; Hemiptera; Cicadellidae. The transcript has 2 exons.